RNAcentral lists this ribosomal RNA (301 nucleotides) under uncultured bacterium. RNAcentral describes it as "partial 16S ribosomal RNA". It matches the Rfam family "Bacterial small subunit ribosomal RNA", at positions 509 to 807 of the family's 1533-position model. The record is from RNAcentral.
CAGCCGCCGCGGGAAAACGGAGGGGGCUAGCGUUGUUCGGAAUUACUGGGCGUAAAGCGUACGUAGGCGGCUUUGUAAGUUAGAGGUGAAAGCCUGGUGCUCAACACCAGAACUGCCUUUAAGACUGCAUCGCUUGAACGUCGGAGAGGUGAGUGGAAUUCCGAGUGUAGAGGUGAAAUUCGUAGAUAUUCGGAAGAACACCAGUGGCGAAGGCGGCUCACUGGACGACUGUUGACGCUGAGGUACGAAAGCGUGGGGAGCAAACAGGAUUAGAUACCCCUGUAGUCCCUGUCUCUUAUAC